UACCCUUGACAUGUCACUAACGAAGUAGAGAUACAUUAGGUGCCCGUAAGGGAAAGUGAACAC
This 63-nucleotide ribosomal RNA is filed under the name uncultured organism. RNAcentral describes it as "partial 16S ribosomal RNA". The record is from RNAcentral.